UAGCAAUCCCGGUCUGAAUGUGGCCUGUGGGCUGCAUGUUGGACGUGCCUGGGCUAGUCAUCUCCACUGUGGCCUGCCAACCUCAGCCAUCCUGAUUCUGUGGUGCUGUCAUAUGGUAGAACAAAAGGAAAUAGAAAACAAAGGGCAUCCUCCUCUAAGUGGAAAAACUGGGACAGUGUAAUGUAUAGAGAAUAGGAAUCUGUGGCAUAAGGGCACAGAAGGUUUCUGGCAAAAGCAAAGAGAGACCUCAUCUUACUUUAAUGGCCUCACCUUUUCCUUGGAGCAAAAAAUAUCAUGAAAGAGCUAACACAUACAGAAGCUACUUUUCCAAACGAGCAGUAUCAUCUCUCUUGUACAGUUAUCAGGCUAAGAAGUUAGCAAAAUCUGACCAUGAUAUUAAGCUGUGUCGACAAAGAAAUAAUUACACCAUAACAGGAUGGACAGCACACUGCAAGUGUUCCACAUCAGUAUCAACAGGUAAGAUUUCUUUUUCUUCCUUUUUACUAAAGUAAUAAAAAAUUACCAAAACAAAUAAACA
RNAcentral lists this long non-coding RNA (538 nucleotides) under Numida meleagris (helmeted guineafowl). RNAcentral's name for it is "lncRNA (ENSNMEG00000005680.1)". Lineage: Eukaryota; Metazoa; Chordata; Aves; Galliformes; Numididae. The record is from RNAcentral.